Molecule: ribosomal RNA, 543 nt
Filed under: uncultured bacterium
Lineage: Bacteria
Description: bacterial SSU rRNA
Rfam family: Bacterial small subunit ribosomal RNA
Source: RNAcentral
UUAGUGGCGAACGGGUGAGUAACACGUGAGCUACCUACCUUUCAGUGGGGGACAACAUUUGGAAACAGAUGCUAAUACCGCAUAAGACCACGACCGGGCAUCCGGUUGAGGCCAAAGGAGCAAUUCGCUGAAAGAUGGGCUCGCGCCUGAUUAGCUAGAUGGUGGGGUAAUGGCCUACCAUGGCAACGAUCAGUAGCCGGACUGAGAGGUUGAACGGCCACAUUGGGACUGAGACACGGCCCAGACUCCUACGGGAGGCAGCAGUGGUGAAUAUUGCACAAUGGACGAAAGUCUGAUGCAGCGACGCCGCGUGAGGGAAGAAGGUUUUCGGAUUGUAAACCUCUGUCUUCGGGGACGAUAAUGACGGUACCCGAGGAGGAAGCCACGGCUAACUACGUGCCAGCAGCCGCGGUAAAACGUAGGUGGCAAGCGUUGUCCGGAAUUACUGGGUGUAAAGGGAGCGCAGGCGGAAUGGUAAGUUGGACGUGAAAUCUAUGGGCUCAACCCAUAGCGUGCGUUCAAAACUAUUGUUCUUGAGUGAUG